GGCCUGUUGGCAGAACGUCUGGACCAUCUCGCGAUAAGCCCCCUGUCGGCGCUUACCCUUGAUGGCCUCAAGAGUUCUCUGGGGAAACUGAUUGUGAAGAUGUUGGUUCAUCAGCCUUACCCCAGCGAGAGAGGCUUUUGCCUCUUCCCUCGCCGUUAGCCGCACCUUCUCCUCACUCCACCUAGGCAGAAGCGUGUCGACUUGAACGGCGUCGUUGGCUUCGAUGGGGUGCUUACGUUUACCGUGCACCCCUAGCCCAAUUUUGGUCUGGAAGUCCCUGCUGCAGUGCUCGCAGACGAACCGCGUCGAUGACGCGCGCCACUACUCGGUACCGCCUCAUGUCUGCCCCGCACAGUUGCAGCAGCGAUACUACCGCUGGUCACAGCACUUUUUCUCCAUGCAUUCAAUUGCCAGGUCAUCCAAGAACCCGGCAGCAAUUUUCUUUUUCUUUGUUCCUCCAUUUGCCAUGGAUUUGCCACCCGCCUUCGUCGGUAGCGUGGCCGGUUGCACGACGGUACUCGUACGGUAUCGGGCCGCAACCAGUACAUUUUCGAAUGUGUUUGCGUCAGGCCCGUCGCAAGCUCGAUCAGUUCUUACCCGGAGGCACGGAUACGAGCCGUCCCCGGGCCUGGUCAGCUGCUGGCAGACGGUGUCCUUCGACUGGCCAAUUACCGGUCAGCGACGCUAUUGCUUUGGGUACUUUCAGGACCCGUCUUGAAACACGGACCAAGGAGUCUAACAUGUGCGCGAGUCAUUGGGAUAGAUAAACCUAAAGGCGAAAUGAAAGUGAAAGUCGUCCUUUGCGUCGACCAAGGGAGGAUGGGUCGAUGAUAUGAGACCUCGCACUCCCGGGGCGUCUCGUUCUCUCUCUCAUUGAGAGAGAAGAGGCGCACCAAGAGCGUACACGUUGGGACCCGAAAGAUGGUGAACUAUGCCUGGUCAGGACGAAGUCAGGGGAAACCCUGAUGGAGGUCCGUAGCGAUUCUGACGUGCAAAUCGAUCGUCGGAACUGGGUAUAGGGGCGAAAGACUAAUCGAACCAUCUAGUAGCUGGUUCCCUCCGAAGUUUCCCUCAGGAUAGCUGGCACUCGCACGUCCAUAUCGAACGCAGAACGAGUCUCAUCUGGUAAAGCGAAUGAUUAGAGGCCUUGGGGCCGAAACGACCUCAACCUAUUCUCAAACUUUAAAUGGGUGAGAACUCUGGCUUGCUUGAAGCAUGAAGCCAAAGACAAUUUAAAUUGGAUCUUGAGUGCCAAGUGGGCCAAUUUUGGUAAGCAGAACUGGCGCUGUGGGAUGAACCAAACGCAGAGUUAAGGCGCUUAAGACGACGCUUAUUGGAUACCAUGAAAGGCGUUGGUUGCUUAUGACAGCAGGACGGUGGCCAUGGAAGUCGGAAUCCGCUAAGGAGUGUGUAACAACUCACCUGCCGAAGCAACUAGCCCUGAAAAUGGAUAGCGCUGAAGCGUCGCGCCUAUACUCCGCCGUCAGCGGCAAGAGAGGAGGCACGUGCGUCACUUCGGUGACCGUCCUUCAUGAAGCCCUGACGAGUAGGAGGGUCGCGGCGGUGUGCGCAGAAGGGUAUGGGCGUGAGCCUGCCUGGAGCCGCCGUCGGUGCAGAUCUUGGUGGUAGUAGCAAAUACUUCAGCGAGGACCUGGAGGACUGACGUGGAGAAGGGUUUCGUGUGAACAGCCGUUGCACACGAGUCAGUCGAUCCUAAGCCCUAUGAGAAAUCAUAUGCCGAUGAGGUGUCCUUAAACACAUGUGCAAACGCAACAAUUCGAACGCUAGGUACACACCCAUCGGGCGAAAGGGAAUCCGGUUCCUAUUCCGGAACCCGGUAGCGGAACCGAAAUCCAUUCGGGCCCUCAUUGAGUGUUCGUCGGGGUAACCCAAAAUGACCUGGAGACGCCGUCGGGAGAUCCGGGGAGAGUUUUCUUUUCUGUAUAAGCGUUCGAGUUCCCUGGAAACUUCUAGCAAGGAGAUAGGGUUUGGAACGCGAAGAGCACCGCAGUUGCGGCGGUGUCCGGAUAUUCCCCUCGGACCUUGAAAAUCCAGGAGAGGGCCACGUGGAGGUGUCGCACCGGUUCGUACCCAUAUCCGCAGCAGGUCUCCAAGGUUAAGAGCCUCUAGUCGAUAGAUUAAUGUAGGUAAGGGAAGUCGGCAAAUUGGAUCCGUAACUUCGGGAUAAGGAUUGGCUCUGAGGAGCGGGGCGUGUCGGGCUUGGUCGGGAAGCGGGUCUGGCUGACGUGCCGGGCCUGGGCGAGGUGAACCUGUGGUGUCUCCGCAUGGGAUCCGAGCUCGGUCCCGUGCCUUGGCCUCCCGCGGAUCUUCCUUGCUGCGAGGCUUCCGUUGGCGGCCUGCCGUCGGCGGUCGUCCUCUUCGGCCGCCAUUCAACGCUCAGCUCAGAACUGGCACGGACUAGGGGAAUCCGACUGUCUAAUUAAAACAAAGCAUUGCGAUGGUCCCCACGGGUGUUGACGCAAUGUGAUUUCUGCCCAGUGCUCUGAAUGUCAACGUGAAGAAAUUCAAAAAAAGCGCGGGUAAACGGCGGGAGUAACUAUGACUCUCUUAAUACAACAUCUUUUAAGGAGCCAUAGUUAUAGGAACGGUGAUGCGUAAUACAGACCUCUUGUUAAGUCCUUCAGCCUCUUCCGUUCUACUCGCACACAUACCUCCUCGU
Habropoda laboriosa is the source of this 2680-nucleotide ribosomal RNA. It matches the Rfam family "Eukaryotic large subunit ribosomal RNA", at positions 487 to 3401 of the family's 3401-position model. The record is from Rfam. NCBI's taxonomy places the organism in Eukaryota, Metazoa, Arthropoda, Insecta, Hymenoptera, Apidae.